UACGUAGGGGCUAGCGUUAUCCGGAUUUACUGGGCGUAAAGGGUGCGUAGGUGGUUUCUUAAGUCAGAGGUGAAAGGCUACGGCUCAACCGUAGUAAGCCUUUGAAACUGGGAAACCUGAGUGCAGGAGAGGAGAGUGGAAUUCCUAGUGUAGCGGUGAAAUGCGUAGAUAUUAGGAGGAACACCAGUUGCGAAGGCGGCUCUCUGGACUGUAACUGACACUGAGGCACGAAAGCGUGGGGAGCAAACAGGAUUAGAUACCCCUGUAGUCCCUGAG
This 276-nucleotide ribosomal RNA is filed under the name uncultured prokaryote. RNAcentral's name for it is "partial 16S ribosomal RNA". It matches the Rfam family "Bacterial small subunit ribosomal RNA", at positions 524 to 801 of the family's 1533-position model. The record is from RNAcentral.